GGGGUUGUGGCUCAGCGGUAGAAUGCUCACCUAGCAUGUGGGAGGCCCUGAGUUCAAUCCUCAGCACCACA
RNAcentral lists this transfer RNA (71 nucleotides) under Marmota monax (woodchuck). Its description in RNAcentral is "tRNA.Ala". It matches the Rfam family "tRNA". Rfam says of the family: Transfer RNA (tRNA) molecules are approximately 80 nucleotides in length. Their secondary structure includes four short double-helical elements and three loops (D, anti-codon, and T loops). Lineage: Eukaryota; Metazoa; Chordata; Mammalia; Rodentia; Sciuridae. The record is from RNAcentral.